This 99-nucleotide signal recognition particle RNA is filed under the name Clostridiales bacterium. Its description in RNAcentral is "signal recognition particle sRNA small type". It matches the Rfam family "Bacterial small signal recognition particle RNA". From Rfam's summary of the family: The signal recognition particle (SRP) is a universally conserved ribonucleoprotein involved in the co-translational targeting of proteins to membranes. Lineage: Bacteria; Bacillati; Bacillota; Clostridia; Eubacteriales. The record is from RNAcentral.
GGGCGGGUCCUGUGCGACGGUGCUCCGUGAACCAUGUCAGGCGGGGAACCGAGCAGCAUUAAGCGGUUGCCGCCGUGCGCCGCAGUCAACCUGUCCGUU